GCAUCAUUAGCAUUAUCUUGGCUUCAAGCCUUCUAGAAGGCCAAGACCUUAGUUGACGUCUUCCUUUCCACGGCAGCUUCUUCAAUGGACCCCGUAGUUUUAAUGCACCGUGGAGCCAAACGUGGGAGCAAUGAACAGGUUCACAGCGGAACACCCACCACAGCAGGUUUCACAUCCACCAAGAGUUGGAAACCGUCUCCCACCAGCAUGAUGGGGACCCACACUUGGAUGCCCUUCUAGUAGGAGCAAGUGCCGCUUCUCUCGUGUCGAUGGCUGUAUUCUUAACUCUUGUCUCUUGCCGUCCAUUUGGAUGCAGCCAUCUGAGCUGGUGAACUCUCCAUGUAGAUUUCGUCCUCCGCCAGUAGGUAAUCUCCUGCCAAGCGGUUCUGACAGUUAGCCACUCGCAUCUGGUCUGUUGUGUGGCCAGGAGGUCGAAGGCUGUGGCAGCCUGAUGAAUAACAAUUUCUAGUUCAGCGUGGAAGUGAAUGAUCCUGCUUAACACGUAAACAGGACAUCUAUAGCUCCAAGAUGGGUGACCUCCUAAAUCAAGUUUCUUUCCAAUGAACCUUUUAUUUUUUUCUUCUCCAAACAGUCAUCCAUCUGUAGCAUUCCUCUGGUGACACAGGCCCUGAAUCUAUGUCUUACCGCCUCUUGGUUACAGUGCAUCGUCUCGACACGUGGUUCACAUCAUCUCCCUGGUUGGAACAGGAGUCGGGCAGAACCUUGUAAGAUCAUCAAAGGGAUCCAAACUAGGUAAUAGACUCACAUUCGGGUCAGCAUGGGUUAAACAGCGCGAAUGAACAGAGCCAAACUAACAACCCCAAACGAACCCUAGAAAGCGUAUAGAAGCAAGAUAAAAAAAACCCCAAAACCAUAAGUGACUUGACUGUUCAGUUGGGGUGGAGAAAACAACAGUGAAAGGGCCCCUCCAAACAAGUUCAGGGGCUGAAUAUUCCAUUCUCUGCCCCAGACUCAACCUCCAGGCUUGGAGGAGUGUGGGCCAAACUCACUGGCAAUCUUUCUCCGACCCAUUGGUUGAGAACCUGUGGGUUUUCACGUACCAUGCCCUGAUAUUUGACCAUUCCCUCAUUAGUCAACCAGUAGUGUCCUUUAUAUUCUAACGAUGUCAAAAUUCAAUGAAGAACUCUGACAACCAGUUCUUGUCCCAUGGCCACUUUAUCAGCUUCCGACACCAGAAGAGCUGCGGCUGCAAGGGCCCGUAAACAAGGUGGCCAGCCCUGGGCUACAGAAUCCAGCUGUUUGGACACAUAGGCCACUGGACGGUGCCAUGUCCCCAGCAUCUGAGUCCAAACUCCUAUAGGUACUCGAGACCAAUCAAGGACAUGCAGGAAGAAAGGCUUCGUGAGGUCCGGGAGCCCGGAUCCAGGUGCACAGGGUAUUUUAAGUCCUCUGUCCUGGACCACAGCUGCUUCAUUUGAUUCCUCACAUUAUGAAGCUUCCAGCAUCUUGGACCAAGCGGAUACCAGUUUCCCAGUAUUGCCAUCCUGCAGGCAAACAUUUGGUGACUGUUCCUCCCAUGAUUAUGUCUUCUGCACCUCUCCUGCCAUCGAUGUUCUGUCUCUUGUAUUUCACCCAAAUAUAUCCCAGUGGGUAUCAGGUAUUGAAAUCCACAUAUAUUCCCGCUCUUCCUGCAGCUGAGCACCGGAACAACAAUGCAAUUCAGUGUCUUGGAGCCAUUGACAUUCGGGGAUGUGGCUAUUGAUUUCUCUGAGGAGGAAUGGGAAUGCCUGGAUCCUGCUCAGCAGAAUUUACAUAGAGAAGUGAUGUUGGAGAACUACAGCAACCUGCUGUUUGUGGAGAAGACCUACCAAUGAGAAGAGCGCAACACACUCAAGAACUUUACUCAACAUCACGGUGUUCAUACAGGAGGUAUGCCAAGCAAAGAGUGUGACAAAACUUCUAAUAAAAGCUCCAAUCUUAUUUGUCACCAGUGGAUACACAUUGAAGAGAUGCCCCACGUGUGUAAACAAGUUUGCGAAGCUUUUAAUCAAAAACCAAGCCUAAAAAAUCACCAGAGAAUCCACACUGGAGAGAAGCCCUACAACUGUAAAGAGUGUGGCAAGAGUUUUAAUAAAAAAAUAUUCACUUACUUCCCAGUCAGGACCCUGAAAAGCUCUUUGGGACUCCCCAGUACAUAGGUUCAGUGUUGGGUUUUCCUAGUCUUGCAAUAGAGUUGCCUGUGUCUUUCCCUUUUGCUUUCUCUCUUGCUUUCAUAGUAUGACUCAAGGAAACACUGUCUUGUGUGAAGAGAGUGUCAUCCUUAUCUAUUGUACCUGACCUGCCAAGUUGAGCAGCUGCCCACAAACUGAAUGUCACAAACACAUGUAUGUGUCAUCUAAUCAGUAACUAGUGUGUCUUCAACUGCAUGGUUUUUUAUCGGACGGGGGAGGAAGUUGAGAACGCUUUGAGUGUCCACAGCACAAUUCAUAGUAUUCAUAACACUGCUGUGUAAUGUUUCCGCUCUGCUCAACUUGUAAGUAAGUAUUGUUCUUGUGCUGCUUUGUAAAACAAAUAGAAAAGAGUUGCAAACCAAAAAAUUUGUGAUAAUAUAGUUGCACAGACUGACUGGGGCAACUCUGUUUACCAUUGUUUAUUAUUUUGUAGGGGCUCAAGGUACUCUUUUAUAAUUUUAUUUAACCUUAAUGACAUUAGCAUUUAUUGAAGAGUUUUUCACUCACAAACCUUCUCGGUAUACAAAUUUUCCCUCAUCAUUUUUAAAAUUUCUUACUCUUUUUAGGUAUACAUGACAGUAGAGCAAAUUUUGACAUAUUAUUCAUGGAGGAAAACUCAUUUUAGUUAGCAUUCCAUUCUUGAGGUGCACAUGCUGUGGACCUUCCCUGGUGGUGUGUUUAUGUAUGAACACUGAGAAGGUGUGUCUCAUUCAUCCUACUGUUGUCUGUACUCCUAUUUCCCUUUCCUUCCCUUCGUUCCAAAUUUGUCUAAUCCACUGGAUUUCUAUUAUCUCCCCGUCCCUUGUUGAGUGGUUUAGUGCCCACAUAUAAUAUUUAUAUAUAUUAAAUAUAUAAUAUGUAUAAUAUAAUAUAUAUAAUAUUUAUUAUCUUAUAUGUAAUGUCUGUUUCACUCUACUAUCCUUCCUAUCCCCAUAUCCCCUCCCCUCCCUGCACUCCUCUCUACUUUAGAUUAAGUCUCUAUCUUCCCCACACCCCAUUGUGAGUUAGCAUCCACUUACCAGAGAGAACAUUUGGCCUCUGUUUUCCUGUGGGUGUGUGUGUGUUGGCCUAUUUCACUUAGCAUGAUAUUCUCCAACUCCGUCCAUUCACCACCAAAUGCCAUAGUUUCAUUCAUCUUUAAAUCUAAGUCAUAUUCAAUUGGUGGGGGAUAUAUAUAUAAAAUCACAUUUUAUUGAUCCAUUCAUCUGUUGAAGGACACCUAGGUUGGUUCUAGGGUUUAGCUGUUGUGAAUUGUGCUGCUGUAAACCUUGGUGCGGCUGUGUCCCUGUCGUGUGCUGUUCUUCAGUCCCAGGAGAGGGACAGCUGGGUCAAAUGGUGGUUCCAUGCUGGUUUUGCAAGGAGUCUCCAUACUUAUUGACAUCCUGACCUUCAGCGAGGGUGGCAUGCAGAAACAUGUUUGGCGCUUAAUUGCUGCCUCAGAAGUCUUACAUCUUACUGAGAAACCUUUACCAGACUUUGUAGGCAAGAACUAGAAGGAAGGUUCUAGCUAUGGCUUAUGGGCCUGUGUUCAAUCUCCUUAUGUUUUAAUUACAGGAAAUGUAAAAGUUAAAAGGGAAGAUGAUAGACAUCUUGUAACAUGUAGUGAAUGUAAUUUAACUAAUUGUAUCACCAGAAAUAAUAGAGGAAAAGGAACGAUGAUGCUCCAUCAGGCCUCCUUUAUUACCAGGAAAUAUUUCAGAGCCAUGGUAGGCUGAUGCUGAUGCUUCAAGUCUUACAACAAAUACACGCCCAGCUCGCGAGACCUAAGUGUGCUCUUGGACUCAUAAUAGUGAGAGUUGUUCCCUUGGUUUCUUGUAUUGCUUGCAUGGUGACAGCUUUGGUGGCCAUAUCUCAAAUAUUCAACAUGCACAUUUUCUUAAUUAUUUGGCUCAGAAUACUUCCAAGGCUCUUCACAAUCAAAUAAAUGUUGAUGAAAGAUUGAGACCAAGCUAAAUGCCUUAGAGGCUGCUGUCAUGAAUAUAGAUAAUGCACUUUCCACUUUGAAAUUCAAGGAAAGACCUAAAUGUCCUGCUAGAUAUAAGUAUGUGUGUGUCACUGCUGCCAAGUGCAAAGCUUCUUAGUGGUAUUGGGAGAAGCUUCAAAACCAUUUGUUGGAUAUUUGGCAGAAGAAAGAUAACCGCUUGGUUCUUUUGGAGCUGCAUCAUCAGAUUCAAGAUAUACAAAAAAGUAAGGUCGAUUUUUCAGAUCCUACUUUUUUAGCUGAUCAAAUACUUAAGGAGUAAACAGCUUUAACCCUGGAAACAUUCUUAAACACUCUGCAUGGUCUAUCCUUGUAUUGUUCUCAUUGCUACUUAUUCUCUCUUGUGUUGUAAUUGUAGGAUGUUGUGCCCCUAGAAGAAGAAUCAGGGACUCAAAAUAAUGACCCAUCACCUGCUUUUUCCAAGAAAGAACAGAUAUGUGGGAAGCUCUUCUGAGUGACCCAUGCCUUCCAGUCCUGCAGCAGGAGGCUCUGACCAGUCACUACAUUUGUGGUGACUGGGCAUUGUCCCAGCUCAAAUAGAGGGGGGGGGGUCUUCAGAUGUAGGCGUUUCCCAGGAGGGUUGAGUUAUACUCACGUGUCUCUUGUAACCCUGCCCCCUCUGGCCUUUUUUGAAUAGAACUUUCUAAGAACAAGAGUCCUCCAAUGAAAGCUCUCUUCUGAAUGUGGUCACUUUCUCACCAGCCUCUCCUGCCUUCCUCUUGGCCUCCCUUUUGGGGAUCCUGAGGCCAAGGGCAGAGAAGAAGUCCUGAAGCUUGUGUGAAGGUAAAGUGUGUCUGUGUUUUAUUUGGUUCCCUGGAAAUUCACACGAGUGCCCUUAGGUUCAGCUGACUGUGCAGGUCGGGGCUGGCGAUUUGUAACUGUUGUUCAGAGGGAUCACACACACACACACACACACACACACACACACACACACACACACACACCUUAGAUUUUUCAAGAGUAAAAGCAAAAGCAAAAAUGGCCCUGGGAUGACUAGAUAUCCACAAGAAGAAACAAAAAGUAUUUGGAUACGUCCCUCACAUCAUGUACAAAAGUAAAAUUUUUUUUUAAAAGGAUCAAAGUCCUUUGUGUCAUAGCUAGAAGCAAAAAACUCAUAAAAAACAGUUGAGGAAAUUUUGGUUACUUUGGAUGUGCUGGUGGCUAUUGAAUAUUCGUAUUUAUUUUAAUCAGUUAGAAUAAUCCCCGUUUAAAAGUGGUAUGAUUUCAUGUCAAAAUAAACCUUAAUGUUACAUAUAACUGAAAUUCACUAAUAAAAAAUAAAAUUUAAAUAUGAACAAAGGCACUGGCGAUGUCGCUCAGGGGUAAAGCAUCCCCGAGUUCAGUUUUCAGUACCAACAAAUGAUUAUUAAAGGAACAAAGACAUUUCUGACUGUAACAGGCUUCGUCUUGACUCUGUUGACACUUCUGUGGGUUUGGUGAAAACGAGAACCUUUUCCAUGAUAAUUCAUGAUUUGUUAAAAAAUUAUAAGAUUUCUCUUUUUUUGUGUCUCAACAACAUGUUCCUGACUACAUGAAAAGCCACAAGUGUACAGAGGUCAGUUUGGGGUCAGAAGGUAAUUAGUUAAUAUUAUUUCUUUGACAGCCCUUCAGCUAAUAUGACUCCACACAAGGCUAUGGAUCAUUUGGCUCCAGAGGAAUAAUCUUUACUCUUCAGAAAUUUCAACUUUAUUUAAGUCUAUAGAUUAAGAUAAAUGGAUGUCCAGGUUUGACUUCUACAAGAUUGCACAGGGGGAUCCUUCUCUACCUUCCCAUCAACUAUUGGCAGAAGAAAGGAUUGCCGUAACAAAGGCUGAAUCUGCCACGGAGACUGCACAGCUUACCAGAAUUAACCCACAAGAGCCUGUAUAUGGAUUAACAUUUCCCACUCUUCAUACCCCUACAGGAGCAAUGUGGCGAUAAUUGGGAAUUAUUGAGUGGCCUUGCCUACCUCAUUCUCCUCAAAAGUCAUCGACUCCAUGCCAUGGCUUUAUUGCUCAGUUAGUUACUAAAGGAAGAACACGAGUUUUUCAGAGAGUUGGGUCAUAGCCUAAUAUGAAUGUUGGCCCUUUUUCUACUCAAGAGCAGGAUUGGCUUUGGCAGUCUUCUAACACUUGGCCGAUAGCUUUUGCUAAUUUCCCUGGCCAAAUGGAAAGCCAUUACCUUCGUGAUAAAAUUAUUCAGUUUGCUCUUGUGACUACAUUUAUUUUCCCCAAAAUUGUAUGUGCUUAACCAAUAGUUGGAGCACUAACAAUAUUUACUGAUGGAUCGAGUUCAGGAAAAGCAGGUUUCUAUAGCCAUGUAUUAUACAGAGAUAAUACAGACGUCUUAUACUUCUGCACAACGAGCAGAACUUCAAGCUCACAUUUGUGCUUUAAUU
Ictidomys tridecemlineatus (thirteen-lined ground squirrel) is the source of this 6550-nucleotide non-coding RNA. NCBI's taxonomy places the organism in Eukaryota, Metazoa, Chordata, Mammalia, Rodentia, Sciuridae. The record is from RefSeq and is a predicted model, not a curated record.